RNAcentral lists this ribosomal RNA (25 nucleotides) under Steinernema kraussei. RNAcentral describes it as "partial 28S ribosomal RNA". Lineage: Eukaryota; Metazoa; Nematoda; Chromadorea; Rhabditida; Steinernematidae. The record is from RNAcentral.
CAAGCAAGACUACCCGCUGAACUUA